UAUAUGAAGGUGUAUAUAGUUUGGCCUGCUCACUGAUUAAAUUAAAGAGCCGCAGUAUUUUGACUGUGCGAAGGUAGCAUAAUAAAUUGUCUUUUAAUUAAAGGCUUGAAUGAAAGGUUGGACAAAGUAUCAUCUGUUUCUUAAAUAUUUAUUGAAUUUGACUUUUAAGUGAAAAGGCUUAAAUAAAUCAAAAAGACGAUAAGACCCUAUAAAUCUUUACAAUAAAUAUAUUUUAUAUUUUAGCUUAUAAGUAAAUAAGAAAUAAAAAUAUAGGUUUGUUACGCUGGGGCGGCGUAGAUAUAUAAAUAAACUGUCUAUAGUUUAAAUACAAUAAUUAUUGCUUAAUACAAAUUGAUCCUUAAAUAGAUUAAAAGAUUAAGAUACUUUAGGGAUAACAGCGUUAUUUUUUUUGAGAGUUCUUAUCGAAGAAAAAGUUUGCGACCUCGAUGUUGAAUUAAAGUAUCUUUAUGGUGUAGCCGCUAUAAGAGAGAGUCUGUUCGACUUUUAAUACUUUACGUGAU
This 521-nucleotide ribosomal RNA is filed under the name Paralithodes platypus (blue king crab). Its description in RNAcentral is "partial 16S ribosomal RNA". It matches the Rfam family "Bacterial large subunit ribosomal RNA", at positions 1832 to 2604 of the family's 2925-position model. Lineage: Eukaryota; Metazoa; Arthropoda; Malacostraca; Decapoda; Lithodidae. The record is from RNAcentral.